This 610-nucleotide ribosomal RNA is filed under the name uncultured bacterium. Its description in RNAcentral is "bacterial SSU rRNA". The stretch from base 1 to 518 matches the Rfam family "Bacterial small subunit ribosomal RNA", at positions 338 to 873 of the family's 1533-position model. The record is from RNAcentral.
CCUACGGGAGGCAGCAGUGGGGAAUCUUGCGCAAUGGGCGAAAGCCUGACGCAGCAACGCCGCGUGCGGGAUGAAGGCCUUCGGGUUGUAAACCGCUUUCAGCAGGGACGAAGAUGACGGUACCUGCAGAAGAAGCCCCGGCCAACUACGUGCCAGCAGCCGCGGUAACACGUAGGGGGCGAGCGUUGUCCGGAUUUAUUGGGCGUAAAGAGCUCGUAGGCGGUUCCGUCAGUCGGGUGUGAAAACUCUGGGCUCAACCCAGAGACGCCACCCGAUACUGCGGUGACUAGAGUCCGGUAGGGGAGUGCGGAAUUCCUGGUGUAGCGGUGAAAUGCGCAGAUAUCAGGAGGAACACCAACGGCGAAGGCAGCACUCUGGGCCGGUACUGACGCUGAGGAGCGAAAGCGUGGGGAGCGAACAGGAUUAGAUACCCUGGUAGUCCACGCCGUAAACGUUGGGCACUAGGUGUGGGACCUUUCCAACGGGUUCCGUGCCGCAGCUACGACAUAGUGCCCGCCGUCGGGAGGUACGGCCGCGACGGACGUAAACGUACAAAGUAGAAGUUAGACGGCGUGUAGACGUUGCCGAAGGACGACGACGAGGGAGGAGG